RNAcentral lists this ribosomal RNA (253 nucleotides) under uncultured bacterium. RNAcentral describes it as "partial 16S ribosomal RNA". It matches the Rfam family "Bacterial small subunit ribosomal RNA", at positions 524 to 776 of the family's 1533-position model. The record is from RNAcentral.
UACGAAGGGGGCUAGCGUUGCUCGGAAUUACUGGGCGUAAAGCGCACGUAGGCGGAUUGUUAAGUCGGGGGUGAAAUCCUGGAGCUCAACUCCAGAACUGCCUUCGAUACUGGCGAUCUCGAGUUCGGGAGAGGUGAGUGGAACUGCGAGUGUAGAGGUGAAAUUCGUAGAUAUUCGCAAGAACACCAGUGGCGAAGGCGGCGACCUGGGUUGACACUGACGCUGAGGCGCGAAAGCGUGGGGAGCAAACAGG